ACGGCUCAGUAACACGUCGGUAACCUGCCCUUGGGUCGGGGAUAAGCUCGGGAAACUGAGUCUAAAACCCGAUAGGGGAUUGAUCCUGGAAUGGACUUUCCCUCAAACUCGCGCCCAAGGAUGGGCCGGCGGUCGAUUAGGCUGUUGGUGGGGUAAAGGCCCACCAAACCGAAAAUCGGUACGGGCCAUGAGAGUGGUAGCCCGGAGAGGGACCCUGAGACACUGGUCCCAGCCCUACGGGGUGCAGCAGGCGCGAAACCUCUACAAUGCGCGAAAGCGUGAUAGGGGGAUUCCCAGUGCUCAUGCAUUGCAUGGGCUUUUGCCAUUGGCAAAAACAAUGGCGAACAAGUGGUGGGUAAGACCGGUGCCAGCCGCCGCGGUAACACCGGCGCCACAAGUGGGGAUCGCGAUUAUUGGGCCUAAAGCGUCCGUAGCCGGCCCUGUAAAUCCUUUGUGAAAUCGUUGGGCUUAACUUAACGGUGUGCAGAGGACACUGCAGGGCUCGAGACCGGGAGGGGUUGGAGGUAUUCCGUGGGGAGCGGUAAAAUGCUAUAAUCCACGGAGGACCACCGAUGGCGAAGGCAUCCAACCAGAACGGGUCUGACGGUGAGGGACGAAAGCUAGGGGAGCGAACCGGAUUAGAUACCCGAGUAGUCCUAGCUGUAAACGCUGCGAGCUAGGUGUUGCGCAAUCUACGGGAUUGCGCAGUGUCGAAAUGAAGAUGAUAAGCUCGCCGCCUGGGAAGUACGGUCGCAAGGCUGAAACUUUAAGGAAUUGGCGGGGGAGCAC
Molecule: ribosomal RNA, 789 nt
Filed under: uncultured euryarchaeote
Lineage: Archaea; Methanobacteriati; Methanobacteriota
Description: bacterial SSU rRNA
Rfam family: Archaeal small subunit ribosomal RNA
Source: RNAcentral